ACUGACCUCUACAGUCGGGAUCGGCGCCGCCAGCUGCUCCGGAGUCAGGUUCCCAAACUCCUCCGCUAGCACGUCCAUGCUGCUCACGAAGGAGGAAGAAACAGAUAGAACCUCCGCGCCCGCCUUCCCUGCACCAAGCAAACUGCAAGACUCCCGGCGAACGGUGCGCGGAGGCCUAAACUGUCCCCGCCGUGCGUGUUAGCUAGAGACGCGGUAGAAAGGUUCCGCCCGCUCCCUGCCCGAAUCUGCGGUGGAACCCGGAUGUGGCCGAGGCCGAGUAAGGAAAGUACGCCCUCUGGUGUAGCUCGGAGGUCUGGCGCAGGGAAUCCUAAGCCCCAGCUGUCAGGUUUCUUGCCAAUUCUCUGGUAAUUGAGACCAGCAAAACAUAGUGGUUGUCAUUUUAAAAGUAAUCCGAAGAAAAGUGUAAACGCAUAAUUUACGC
This 442-nucleotide long non-coding RNA is filed under the name Homo sapiens (human). RNAcentral's name for it is "non-protein coding lnc-CKAP4-1:2". Lineage: Eukaryota; Metazoa; Chordata; Mammalia; Primates; Hominidae. The record is from RNAcentral.